Molecule: ribosomal RNA, 454 nt
Filed under: uncultured bacterium
Lineage: Bacteria
Description: bacterial SSU rRNA
Rfam family: Bacterial small subunit ribosomal RNA
Source: RNAcentral
UGCGAACUCCUACGGGAGGCAGCAGUGGGGGAUAUUGCACAAUGGGGGGAACCCUGAUGCAGCAACGCCGCGUGAGUGAAGAAGGCUUUCGAGUCGUAAAGCUCUGUCGUAUGAGAAGAAUAAAUGACUGUAUCAUACAAGAAAGCCCCGGCUAACUACGUGCCAGCAGCCGCGGUAAUACGUAGGGGGCAAGCGUUAUCCGGAAUUACUGGGCGUAAAGGGUGCGUAGGCGGCUUAGUAAGUCAAGAUUUAAAGGCAGCAGCUCAACUGCUGUUCGGUCUUGAAACUAUUGAGCUUGAGUAUAGGAGAGGAAAGUGGAAUUCCCAGUGUAGCGGUGAAAUGCGUAGAUAUUGGGAGGAAUACCGGUGGCGAAGGCGACUUUCUGGACUAUAACUGACGCUGAGGCACGAAAGCGUGGGUAGCAAACAGGAUUAGAUACCCUUGUAGUCCUAUC